UCCAGCUACACGAGGACUUACCGAGGCGAAGUACCACACUAUCGUCUCAUUCAGGUUCACCGUCGGGUUUGGCUUGAUUCCGACCCACACGUCAGCGAUCAUCCCUCUCUCCCAGUGCUGCAGGCGAGAGGCAGAGCACGCAGAAGAGAGAGAGGCUUGAUGCGAGAGAGCCAGAAGACAGAAAGAAGCAACAUCCUGACCCCAGUGACACCCUAACGAGAAUUCUGCGUCAGUGGGAAAGAAACAUCAAAGGACUUAUAAAGACCCAAUACGUUGAUUUUAGUGCUUGGAGUCGUUACAUAUCCCAGUGAAAGAGUUAAAAGGAUGGUUAUUAAGAACACAAACGCAGCAACACUCACUAGUCCAAUAAUACGAGUAGAGAAGACUUGUGUUGCCCUCGUCUGGCUUGUUGAUGCAGGCUUGGAACACCUGACACCAGCGCCCCCCCGACACUCAUCCACCCCGAAGAAGGUGUAGUUGAAGUAAGGGCCGAACUCCAUC
Scylla paramamosain (green mud crab) is the source of this 501-nucleotide long non-coding RNA. RefSeq lists it as uncharacterized. The record is from RefSeq and is a predicted model, not a curated record. Lineage: Eukaryota; Metazoa; Arthropoda; Malacostraca; Decapoda; Portunidae. The transcript is spliced from 3 exons.